Molecule: ribosomal RNA, 500 nt
Filed under: uncultured bacterium
Lineage: Bacteria
Description: partial 16S ribosomal RNA
Rfam family: Bacterial small subunit ribosomal RNA
Source: RNAcentral
AUUGAACGCUGGCGGCAUGCUUUACACAUGCAAGUCGAACGGUAACAGGGAGCUUGCUCCGCUGACGAGUGGCGAACGGGUGAGUAAUGCGUCGGAACGUGCCGAGUAGUGGGGGAUAACGCAGCGAAAGUUGUGCUAAUACCGCAUACGUACUGAGGUAGAAAGUGGGGGACCUUCGGGCCUCACGCUAUUCGAGCGGCCGACGUCUGAUUAGCUAGUAGGUGAGGUAAAGGCUCACCUAGGCGACGAUCAGUAGCGGGUCUGCGAGGAUGAUCCGCCACACUGGGACGGGGAAACGGCCCAGACUCCUACGGGAGGCAGCAGUGGGGAAUUUUGGACAAUGGGCGAAAGCCUGAUCCAGCCAUGCCGCGUGUCUGAAGAAGGCCUUCGGGUUGUAAAGGACUUUUGUCGGGGAGGAAAUCCCCAGCGCUAAUACCGCUGGGGGAUGACAGUACCUGAAGAAUAAGCACCGGCUAACUACGUGCCAGCCGCCGCAGUAA